UACAGAGGUCUCAAGCGUUGUUCGGAUUUAUUGGGUUUAAAGGGUGCGUAGGCGGUCCUAUAAGUCAGUGGUGAAAUAUCGCAGCUCAACUGUGAGGGUGCCAUUGAUACUGUAGGACUUGAGUGAAUUUGAGGUAGGCGGAAUUGACGGUGUAGCGGUGAAAUGCUUAGAUAUCGUCAAGAACACCGAUAGUGAAGACAGCUUACCAAGCUUCAACUGACGCUGAGGCACGAAAGUGUGGGGAUCAAACAGG
This 253-nucleotide ribosomal RNA is filed under the name uncultured bacterium. RNAcentral's name for it is "partial 16S ribosomal RNA". It matches the Rfam family "Bacterial small subunit ribosomal RNA", at positions 524 to 776 of the family's 1533-position model. The record is from RNAcentral.